UUCGGGGUGCCGACGAGUGGCGAACGGGUGAGUAACGCGUGGAUACAUGUCCUAUGGUGGGGAAUAACGUUUAGAAAUGAACGCUAAUACCGCAUAAGCCCUACGGGGGAAAGAUUUAUCGCCAUAGGAGUGGUCUGCGUCGGAUUAGCUUGUUGGUGGGGUAAUGGCCUACCAAGGCGACGAUCCGUAGCUGGUCUGAGAGGAUGAUCAGCCACACUGGGACUGAGACACGGCCCAGACUCCUACGGGAGGCAGCAGUGGGGAAUAUUGCGCAAUGGGGGAAACCCUGACGCAGCGACGCCGCGUGGGUGAAGAAGGCCUUAGGGUUGUAAAGCCCUUUCAGCAGGAAAGAUAGUGACGGUACCUGCAGAAGAAGCUCCGGCUAACUCCGUGCCAGCAGCCGCGGUAAUACGGAGGGGGCUAGCGUUGUUCGGAAUUACUGGGCGUAAAGGGCGCGUAGGCGGUUUUGCAAG
This 473-nucleotide ribosomal RNA is filed under the name uncultured Magnetococcus sp. RNAcentral's name for it is "bacterial SSU rRNA". It matches the Rfam family "Bacterial small subunit ribosomal RNA", at positions 79 to 587 of the family's 1533-position model. Lineage: Bacteria; Pseudomonadati; Pseudomonadota; Magnetococcia; Magnetococcales; Magnetococcaceae. The record is from RNAcentral.